GCCCGCUUAGCUCAGAGGU
RNAcentral lists this transfer RNA (19 nucleotides) under Castanea sativa (European chestnut). RNAcentral describes it as "partial tRNA-Thr". The record is from RNAcentral. RNAcentral also lists the same sequence under 10 other names. Lineage: Eukaryota; Viridiplantae; Streptophyta; Magnoliopsida; Fagales; Fagaceae.